This 500-nucleotide ribosomal RNA is filed under the name uncultured bacterium. RNAcentral describes it as "partial 16S ribosomal RNA". It matches the Rfam family "Bacterial small subunit ribosomal RNA", at positions 30 to 523 of the family's 1533-position model. The record is from RNAcentral.
AUUGAACGCUUGCGGCAUGCCUUACACAUGCAAGUCGAACGGUAACGGGUACUUCGGGAUGCCGACGAGUGGCGAACGGGUGAGUAAUAUAUCGGAACGUGCCCAGUAGUGGGGGAUAACUGCUCGCAAGAGCAGCUAAUAACGCAUACGACCUGAGGGUGAAAGGGGGGGAUCGCAAGACCUCUCGCUAUUGGAGAGGCAGAUAUCAGAUUAGCUAGUUGGUGGGGUAAAGACCUCGCAAGGCAACGACCUGUAGUUGGUCUGAGAGGACGUCCAGCCACACUGGGACUGAGACACGGCCCAGACUCCUACGGGAGGCAGCAGUGGGGAAUUUUGGACAAUGGGCGCAAGCCUGAUCCAGCAAUGCCGCGUGCAGGAAGAAGUCCUUCGGGUUGUAAACUGCUUUUGUCAGGGAAGAAAUCUUCUGGGCUAAUACCCCGGGAGGAUGACGGUACCUGAAGAAUAAGCACCGGCUAACUACGUGCCAGCAGCCGCCGUAA